AUGGACAGGCCCAGGGUUCAGCCGCCACCGACGCCAGGUGAGAGGGGUUGCUCCUUCCUCGACCUCCCCACCGCAAGGCUCUGCGCGUCUUCCUCUCUCUGUCUCCCUCGCUCUGUCUCCCUGUCUCCCUUGCUCUGUCUCCCUGUUUCCCUCGCUCUGUCUCCCUCUGUCUCCCUCGCUCUGUCUCCCUCUGCCUCCCCUCUCUCUUUCUCCCUCUCCCUCUCUCCCUGUCUCUCUCUCUCUCCCUUUUUCUCUGUCCCUCUCCUCAGCUCUCUCCUUCUCUCUUCUCCCUCCUCGACCCCCUUCCUCUUCCUGUCUCUCCUCCCUAUCGCUCUCCCUCUCUCUCCUCCACCUUCCCCAUCUCUCCCUGUCUCUCAUCUGUCUCUUCCUUGCACCCCUUCUCUGUGUCUCUGUCUCCUUCCCCCAACUUUCUCUCAGUCUCCCUCAGCAACCCCUUCUCUUUCUUACUCUCCCUCUUCUCCCCCAUCUCUCUGUCUUUCCCUGGCUUGGUAUCUCCGUAUCUCUCUGUCUCCUCUCUAUCUCUAUCUCUAUCUCUGUGUCUCCCCUACUUCUCUCCAUCUGUCUCUCCCCCUUCUGUCUCUCCCCCACUUCUCUCCAUCUCUGUCUCUCCCCCACUUCUCUCAUCUCUCUCUCCCCCACUUCUAUCUCUGCCUCUCUCACACUUCUCUCCAUCUGUCUCUUCCCCACUUCUAUCUCUGUCUCUUCCCUACUUCUCUCAUCUCUAUCUCUCCCCCACUUCUGUCUCUCCCCCACUUCUCUCCAUCUGUCUCUUCCCCACUUCUAUUUCUGUCUCUCCCCCACUUCUCUCCAUCUCUGUCUCUCCCCCACUUCUCUCAUCUCUCUUUCCCCACUUCUAUCUCUGUCUCUCCCCCACUUAUCUCUGUUCCCCACUUCUAUCUCUUCCCCACUUCUCUCCAUCUCUGUCUCUCCCCCACUUCUCCCCACUUCUCUCCAUCUGUCUCUCCCCCACUUCUCUCAUCUCUAUCUCUUUCCCCACUUCUAUCUGUCUCUCCUCCACUUCUAUCUCUGUCUCUCCCCCACUUCUAUCUCUGUCUCUCCCCCACUUAUCUCUAUCUGUUCCCCACUUCUAUCUGUCUCUUCCCCACUUCUCUCCAUCUCUGUCUCUCCCCCACUUCUCCCCACUUCUCUCCAUCUGUCUCUCCCCCACUUCUCUCAUCUCUCUUUCCCCACUUCUAUCUCUGUCUCUCCUCCACUUCUAUCUCUGUCUCUCCCCCACUUCUGUCUCUCCCCCACUUAUCUCUAUCUGUUCCCCACUUCUAUCUCUGUCUCUCCCCCACUUCUCUCAUCUCUAUCUCUUCCCCACUUCUAUCUCAUCUCUGUCUCUCCCCCACUUCUCCCCACUUCUCUCCAUCUCUGUCUCUCCCCCACUUCUAUCUCUGUCUCUUCCCCACUUCUAUCUCUGUCUCUUCCCCACUUCUCUCAUCUCUUUCUCUCCCCCGCUUCUAUCUCUGUCACUCCCCCACUUCUCUGUCUCUGCCUCUCCCAUUUCUCUGUCUCUUCCCCCAUUUCUCUGCCUGUCUCUCCCCCUAUUUCUCUGUCUCUGUCUCUCCCCCAUUUCUCUAUCUCUGCCUCUCCCCCACUUCUCUGUCUCUGCCUCUCCCCCCUUUCUCUGUCUCUCCCCCUAUUUCUCUGUCUCUGUCUGUCUCUCCUGUCUCUCUCUGAGUCCUCCUCUCUCCCCAGCUCUCCAGAUGAAGUCCUCCCGGGCCUCUGCGGUCCCUGCUGAAUAAAGCUGUUUCUGUCCUCACCUCUCUCCCUUCUGCGCCUCCUUCUUUCCUUCCUCGCUCCUCUGCCUCUCAGCUCGGCCCCAAGCCCUGAUCCUGGGUCUAGGGGGUGGGAAUCCCAGAGCUGGGUAUGGGGGCUCCUCCCUCCCAGAGACAGAGAUGGAUGCAGAGAGAGAACCAGUGACAGGCACGGAGAGAGAGCAAGAGACCAAGCGACACAGAGACAAGAUGGGGCCAUAAGCUCAGAGAUGAGAGAUGGCAGGUCAGAGAUACAGCUCGUGAGAGACAGGGAGACAGAGACUUAGAGACCCAGAGACAGAGAGACCAGGCAGCACCCCCGCCCCGAUACACACAGACACAGGGGACAAGGGCCGGGCAGGGCUGGGCAGCCUCCCCUGCCCCUUCAGGCCUGGCCUGGCGUCCCCGCCCCGAUACACACAAACAGACACAGGGGACAAGGGCCAGGCAGGGCUGGGCAGCCUCCCCUCCCCCUUCAGGCCAGGCCAUGCCAGGCCAGGCAGUGCCAGGCCCAGGACAAUGGCCCCUUGUCAGGGCUCCAGAGGAGUUGGCCAGCUGGGGAGGCCUGUGGGCUGGGCCGUGGAGGAGGGGCGGCCACAGACGCCAGGUUGGUGGGGUGCACCUCCUGGGGGCCUGGCCCAGAGCCUCCACCCUCAGACUCCCCUCCUCCCCUGGCCUCCCUUCCUGGGGUCCCCCACCUGCUUCCAGCUUGCUUUCUCUGCUCUGCCUGGGGAAGGGAACAGGCAUUUAUGGAGCACCUGCCGUAUGCAUCCACAAGGCCUCCCUGCCUCUCCUCACACUUCCGCCUCCCACCUCCCUGUCCUGUCCUGGGCACCCACUUCUUGUUCCUCCUGUGAAAUGGGCAAUUAUUAAGCACCUGAAGCUUGGCAGACAAUUCCCGUAACCCAUCUGCACCUUCCAUCCUCCUGGCUUUCCUGUCCCUUCCACCCAGUUCCUUUCUCUUUCUGAUUUGCUUGGUCUCCCCUGGGAAGGCAACGGGCAUCUACUGAGCAUCUACUGUGUACCAAGGAGCUUAGGAACACUGGCUGCUCUCUUCCUACAUCCUUUUCUUCCCCCACUCCUUUCUUUCCUCUCUCUUUUUUUUUUCUUGUUUUUGAGACAAGGUCUCGCUCUGUCACCCAGGCUGGAUCGCAGUCACACAGUCGAGGCUCACUGCAGCCGCAACCUCCUGCGCUCAAGCGAUCCUCUACCCCGGCCCCCCAAGUAGCUGGAACUCCAGGCACCACCAUGUCUGGCUAAUUUUUGUAUUAUUAUUAUUAUUGCUUGAGGCGGAGUUUUGUUCUUGUCACCCAGGCUGGAGUGCAAUGAUGCGAUCUCAGCUCACUUCAAUGUCCACCUCCUGGAUUCAAGCAAUUCUCCCGCCUCAGCUUCCUGAGUAGCUGGGAUUACAGGCACCCAUCACUACACCCGGCUGAUUUUUUGUAUUUUUAACAGAGAUGGGGUUUCACCAUGUCGGUUGGGCUGGUCUUGAACUCCUGACCUCAGGUGAUCCACCCACCUCAGCCCCCACAGUGCUGGGAUUACCAGCGUGAGCCGCCUCACCGGGGCUUUCUUCCCUCUGUGGGUUUCCUCUCCUUUCUGACGUUCUGCUGUCUCCUGGCAGAGGGGGUGGACACACUGUGAGCACUUCCUGUGUACCAGGCACUGUACGUACCUCUCUCCUCGCCCUCUUCCCACCCGGUUCCUCUUCUGUCCUCUCCUUGUGUUUCUGUGCUCUCUGCCCUCUUCCAAGGCAAGGACUACACUUAUUGAGCACUUCUGGUAUGCACACAGUUCUGUCCUUUCUCUACUCUCCUCUUGCCCUUCAGUCUCCACUGAUGCCACCAGUCUCUGCUGCUUUCUGCACUCUGCCAGGGAAGAAAAUGGGCAUUUAUUGAGCACCUACUGUGUCCCCCGUGGCUCACCCGCACCGCUCCCUCCCCACGCAUCCUCUCCUCUGCCCCUCCACCCCCACGGAGGCCUCCUGGGCCAACACUUUUCCUCUUGUUCCUGUCUGAGCCUUCAUUUCCAUCUUGUUCUCGAGGAAGACAAUGUGCAUUUAUUGAGUGCCUCCUGUGUGCCCACCGCUCACCAGAGCACUUGUUCUCAUUUCCUCUCUUCCCCCUACCUCCUUCUCUCCUCCAGCUUCUCCCUUUCCUCUCUGCCCUGCCAGCUCUUUCCUGGGGGAGGAAACAGGCAAGACUGAGUGCCUGCUGUAUGCUGCCCCUUCAUCCCCACCGUCUGCUUGCCUCACAGGCUCUGUUCUCCCUUCUCUCCUUCUCUCUGCUUGCUCCCUUCCUCCUGGCUGCUUGCUCUGUGCCUGCUGCCAGGAAGUCUGUGCUUGCUGCCAGUAAGGAGAAUGGGCAUUUAUUAGGCACCUACUGUGUAUUAGUCACUUUACGUAUAUUGUCUCCUUCCCACGCAAGUCUCUUCUGUUCUCUCUGCUGGAGUUUCUUCCUCCUCCUCCUCCUCACCCUCCUCCUCCUCUCCCUUCUCCUCCUCUCCUCACUCCUCCUUUACUUUCUCCUGUCUCUUGGGGAAAAGAACACUUAACAGACAGACACCUACUGUCUGCNNNNNNNNNNNNNNNNNNNNNNNNNNNNNNNNNNNNNNNNNNNNNNNNNNNNNNNNNNNNNNNNNNNNNNNNNNNNNNNNNNNNNNNNNNNNNNNNNNNNGCCACCAGUCUCUGCUGCUUUCUGCACUCUGCCAGGGAAGAAAAUGGGCAUUUAUUGAGCACCUACUGUGUCCCCCGUGGCUCACCCGCACCGCUCCCUCCCCACGCAUCCUCUCCUCUGCCCCUCCACCCCCACGGAGGCCUCCUGGGCCAACACUUUUCCUCUUGUUCCUGUCUGAGCCUUCAUUUCCAUCUUGUUCUCGAGGAAGACAAUGUGCAUUUAUUGAGUGCCUCCUGUGUGCCCACCGCUCACCAGAGCACUUGUUCUCAUUUCCUCUCUUCCCCCUACCUCCUUCUCUCCUCCAGCUUCUCCCUUUCCUCUCUGCCCUGCCAGCUCUUUCCUGGGGGAGGAAACAGGCAAGACUGAGUGCCUGCUGUAUGCUGCCCCUUCAUCCCCACCGUCUGCUUGCCUCACAGGCUCUGUUCUCCCUUCUCUCCUUCUCUCUGCUUGCUCCCUUCCUCCUGGCUGCUUGCUCUGUGCCUGCUGCCAGGAAGUCUGUGCUUGCUGCCAGUAAGGAGAAUGGGCAUUUAUUAGGCACCUACUGUGUAUUAGUCACUUUACGUAUAUUGUCUCCUUCCCACGCAAGUCUCUUCUGUUCUCUCUGCUGGAGUUUCUUCCUCCUCCUCCUCCUCACCCUCCUCCUCCUCUCCCUUCUCCUCCUCUCCUCACUCCUCCUUUACUUUCUCCUGUCUCUUGGGGAAAAGAACACUUAACAGACAGACACCUACUGUCUGCAUCACACUUUCCACCCAUGCCCCUCUCUCACUCUAUUUUUUUUAGUCGGAGUCUCGCUCUGUCGCCCAGGCUGGAGUGCAGUGGCACAAUCUCAUCUCACUGCAACCUCUGCCUCCCGAGUUGAAGCGGAGAUUAUGGGCACCCGCCACCAUGGGUGCCUCAGCCUCCCAAGUAGCUAGGAUUACAGGUGUGCACCACCACAUUCCGGUAAUUUUUUUGAAACGAGGUUUCACUGUGUUACCCAGGCUGGUCUGGAACUCCUGACCUCAGGUGAUUCACCCGCCUCGGCCUCCCAGAGUGCUGGGAUUACAGGCAUGAGCCACUGCGCCUGGCUCCAUGCCCCUCUCUUGAGGCUGCCUAUCCUCCUGCUUUUCCUCUGCGGGAGUUUCUUCUCCUUUUUCACGUGGUCCUGGAGGGAAUGUGCAUUCAUUGAGCACUGACUGUGUGCCAGGCUUUUUAUAUGCACAGCCUCCCCUUCUCUCCCUCUGUUCCCUUUCCCUUCCUCACUCUGCCUUCCUGCUCUCUGUGCCUUCUCCUCGGAAAGGAUACCAAUUGAGCACCGACUGUAUACCUGGCGACUCUCUCUAGACCCUUCUUUCCCCUGCCCCUCCAGUCCACUGACUCUCUCUUUUUCUUCCUUCUCAGCAGUAGAAGCUCCAAACCGUUCAGAUGGCAGGAGCUUAGGUUUCCCCAGGAGUUUCAGCCACCACAGCCUAGCAUGGGCAGCCAGCCCGUAGGAAGCAGGAGGAGGGAGGACUCAGGCUGCAGCCUGAUUUCUCCCUUGGAAAAAUAGGCGAUGACAAUGGCCACUCCCUCCCAGGGCAGGGCGGGGUGCGGGAGGCUCAAGGAGGCCUCAAGAGAAUCUAGGAAGGAACGCUCUAGAAUCUGACCUGAGAGGUAGCCCAUGCCCACAGAGGGGACGCUUCUGCCAUACCUGUCACCACACUGGAUUCAAACCUGACCCUCCUUCCUCUGCCUCCGCAGCCUCCCUGCCCUGCAGGUGCUUGGCGGGUGGUCCCUGGAUUCCUCACCACCUGGGGGAGAGCAGAUGAGGAAACUGAGGUCCGGGUGGGGAAGAAGAUUCGC
This 6277-nucleotide long non-coding RNA is filed under the name Aotus nancymaae (Ma's night monkey). RNAcentral's name for it is "lncRNA (ENSANAG00000039099.1)". The record is from RNAcentral. Lineage: Eukaryota; Metazoa; Chordata; Mammalia; Primates; Aotidae.